Molecule: ribosomal RNA, 253 nt
Filed under: uncultured bacterium
Lineage: Bacteria
Description: partial 16S ribosomal RNA
Rfam family: Bacterial small subunit ribosomal RNA
Source: RNAcentral
CACGUAGGGCGCAAGCGUUGCCCGGAAUUACUGGGCGUAAAGAGCUCGUAGGUGGUUUGUCGCGUUGUCCGUGAAAACUCACAGCUUAACUGUGGGCGUGCGGGCGAUACGGGCAGACUGGAGUACUGCAGGGGAGACUGGAAUUCCUGGUGUAGCGGUGGAAUGCGCAGAUAUCAGGAGGAACACCGGUGGCGAAGGCGGGUCUCUGGGCAGUAACUGACGCUGAGGAGCGAAAGCGUGGGGAGCGAACAGG